GGACCCGCACAAGUAGUGGAGCAUGUGGUUUAAUUCGAAGAUACGCGCAGAACCUUACCAACACUUGACAUGUUUGUCGCGACUCUAAGAGAUUAGAGUUUUCGGUUCGGCCGGACAAAACACAGGUGCUGCAUGGCUGUCGUCAGCUCGUGUCGUGAGAUGUUGGGUUAAGUCCCGCAACGAGCGCAACCCUCACUUUUAGUUGCCAUCAUUUAGUUGGGCACUCUGAAAGAACUGCCAGUGAUAAGCUGGAGGAAGGUGGGGAUGACGUCAAGUCCUCAUGGCCCUUACGUGUUGGGCUACACACGUGCUACAAUGGUAUCUACAACAGGAAGCAAAACUGCGAGGGGGAGCGGAUCUACAAAACCUAUCUCAGUUCGGAUUGCACUCUGCAACUCGAGUGCAUG
RNAcentral lists this ribosomal RNA (407 nucleotides) under uncultured bacterium. RNAcentral's name for it is "bacterial SSU rRNA". It matches the Rfam family "Bacterial small subunit ribosomal RNA", at positions 917 to 1322 of the family's 1533-position model. The record is from RNAcentral.